GAUUUCUGGUUCGAUGCGUUUGGCCCUCUCGGAGCAAUCCGGCGUGCGUGCCGAUGCGCGUCUGCCAUCCCUUGUAGAGAACGUUUCUACCCUUCACUGGGCCGGAUUCGCAAUCUACAUCUUUUACUUUGAAAAAAUUAGAGUGUUUAAAGCAGGCUUGCGCUAUGAAUACAUUAGCAUGGAAUAAUAAUUUAGGACUUUAUUCCUAUUUAUUGGUUUCUGGAGUAGAGUAAUGAUUGAUAGGGAUAGUUGGGGGUGCUAGUAUUCAUCGGCCAGAGGUGAAAUUCUUGGAUUCGAUGAAGACUAACUAAUGCGAAAGCAUU
This 323-nucleotide ribosomal RNA is filed under the name uncultured Thaumatomonas. RNAcentral describes it as "SSU rRNA". The stretch from base 84 to 323 matches the Rfam family "Eukaryotic small subunit ribosomal RNA", at positions 712 to 955 of the family's 1831-position model. The record is from RNAcentral. Lineage: Eukaryota; Cercozoa; Imbricatea; Thaumatomonadida; Thaumatomastigidae.